CCUACGGGGCGCAGCAGUGGGGAAUAUUGGACAAUGGGCGAAAGCCUGAUCCAGCCAUGCCGCGUGUGUGAAGAAGGCCUUCGGGUUGUAAAGCACUUUCAGUGGGGAAGAAAGCCUUGGGGCUAAUACCCUCGAGGAAGGACAUCACCCACAGAAGAAGCACCGGCUAACUCCGUGCCAGCAGCCGCGGUAAUACGGAGGGUGCGAGCGUUAAUCGGAAUUACUGGGCGUAAAGCGCGCGUAGGCGGUCUGAUAAGCCGGUUGUGAAAGCCCCGGGCUCAACCUGGGAACGGCAUCCGGAACUGUCAGGCUAGAGUGCAGGAGAGGAAGGUAGAAUUCCCGGUGUAGCGGUGAAAUGCGUAGAGAUCGGGAGGAAUACCAGUGGCGAAGGCGGCCUUCUGGACUGUCACUGACGCUGAGGUGCGAAAGCGUGGGUAGCAAACAGGAUUAGAUACCCCAGUAGUC
Molecule: ribosomal RNA, 465 nt
Filed under: Vreelandella stevensii
Lineage: Bacteria; Pseudomonadati; Pseudomonadota; Gammaproteobacteria; Oceanospirillales; Halomonadaceae
Description: partial 16S ribosomal RNA
Rfam family: Bacterial small subunit ribosomal RNA
Source: RNAcentral